Molecule: ribosomal RNA, 472 nt
Filed under: uncultured bacterium
Lineage: Bacteria
Description: bacterial SSU rRNA
Rfam family: Bacterial small subunit ribosomal RNA
Source: RNAcentral
ACUCCUACGGGAGGCAGCAGUGGGGAAUAUUGGACAAUGGGCGGAAGCCUGAUCCAGCCAUGCCGCGUGUGUGAAGAAGGCCUUUUGGUUGUAAAGCACUUUAAGCGAGGAGGAGGCUCCUUUAGUUAAUACCUAAAGAGAGUGGACGUUACUCGCAGAAUAAGCACCGGCUAACUCUGUGCCAGCAGCCGCGGUAAUACAGAGGGUGCGAGCGUUAAUCGGAUUUACUGGGCGUAAAGCGUGCGUAGGCGGCUUUUUAAGUCGGAUGUGAAAUCCCUGAGCUUAACUUAGGAAUUGCAUUCGAUACUGGGGAGCUAGAGUAUGGGAGAGGAUGGUAGAAUUCCAGGUGUAGCGGUGAAAUGCGUAGAGAUCUGGAGGAAUACCGAUGGCGAAGGCAGCCAUCUGGCCUAAUACUGACGCUGAGGUACGAAAGCAUGGGGAGCAAACAGGAUUAGAUACCCUGGUAGGCUCU